RNAcentral lists this ribosomal RNA (358 nucleotides) under Clostridioides difficile. RNAcentral's name for it is "bacterial LSU rRNA". It matches the Rfam family "Bacterial large subunit ribosomal RNA", at positions 1 to 358 of the family's 2925-position model. Lineage: Bacteria; Bacillati; Bacillota; Clostridia; Peptostreptococcales; Peptostreptococcaceae. The record is from RNAcentral.
AUGGGCAAGUGAGUAAGGGUGCAGGGAGGAGGAAGGGGCACUAGGAGCCGAUGAAGGACGUGAUAAGCUGCGAUAAGCUUCGGGGAGUUGCACGUAAACUUUGAUCCGAAGAUUUCCGAAUGAGGAAACUCACGUAGAGUAAUGUCUAAGUAUCAUUAAGGGAAUACAAAGCUUAAUGAGGGGAACUCAGGGAACUGAAACAGCUAAGUACCUGAAGGAAGAGAAAGAAAGUCGAUGCCGUAAGUAGCGGCGAGCGAACGAGGAUUAGCCCAAACCAAUAAAGUUUUCUUUAUUGGGGUUGCGGACAUAUCAUAACGAAGAGGUAUCGUAAUUGAAGAGGUUUGGAAAGACCCACCAC